Molecule: transfer RNA, 69 nt
Filed under: Marmota monax (woodchuck)
Lineage: Eukaryota; Metazoa; Chordata; Mammalia; Rodentia; Sciuridae
Rfam family: tRNA
About the family: Transfer RNA (tRNA) molecules are approximately 80 nucleotides in length. Their secondary structure includes four short double-helical elements and three loops (D, anti-codon, and T loops).
Source: Rfam by way of RNAcentral
GGGGUUAUGGCUCAGCGGUAGAGUGCCUGCCUCGAAAGUACGAGGCCCUGGGUUCGAUCCUCAGCCCCA